Molecule: ribosomal RNA, 466 nt
Filed under: uncultured bacterium
Lineage: Bacteria
Description: partial 16S ribosomal RNA
Rfam family: Bacterial small subunit ribosomal RNA
Source: RNAcentral
GAUGAACGCUGGCGGCGUGCUUAACACAUGCAAGUCGAACGGAAAGGCCCAAGCUUGCUUGGGUGCUCGAGUGGCGAACGGGUGAGUAACACGUGGGUGAUCUGCCCUGCACUUUGGGAUAAGCCUGGGAAACUGGGUCUAAUACCGGAUAGGACCAUCGUUUAGUGUCGGUGGUGGAAAGUUUUUCGGUGUGGGAUGAGCUCGCGGCCUAUCAGCUUGUUGGUGGGGUAAUGGCCUACCAAGGCGUCGACGGGUAGCCGGCCUGAGAGGGUGUACGGCCACAUUGGGACUGAGAUACGGCCCAGACGCCCACGGGAGGCAGCAGUGGGGAAUAUUGCACAAUGGGCGCAAGCCUGAUGCAGCGACGCCGCGUGGGGGAUGACGGCCUUCGGGUUGUAAACUCCUUUCGCCAAGGACGAAGCGUUUUGUGACGGUACUUGGAGAAGAAGCACCGGCUAACUACGUG